This 442-nucleotide ribosomal RNA is filed under the name uncultured bacterium. Its description in RNAcentral is "partial 16S ribosomal RNA". It matches the Rfam family "Bacterial small subunit ribosomal RNA", at positions 338 to 795 of the family's 1533-position model. The record is from RNAcentral.
CCUACGGGAGGCAGCAGUGGGGAAUAUUGGGCAAUGGGCGCAAGCCUGACCCAGCAACGCCGCGUGAAGGAAGAAGGCUUUCCGGUUGGUAACUUCUUUUUUCAGGGAAGAGUAGCAGACUGUACCUGACGCAUAAGCCACGGCUAACUACGUGCCAGCAGCCGCGGCAAUACGUAGGUGGCCAGCGUUGUCCGGAUUUACUGGGUGUAACGGGCGUGUAGCCGGGUUGACAAGUCAGAUGUGAAAUCCUGCGGCUUAACCGCAGAACUGCAGUUGAAACUGUUGAUCUUGAGUACUGGAGAGGCAGACGGAAUUCCUAGUGUAGCGGUGAAAUGCGUAGAUAUUAGGAGGAACACCAGUGGCGAAGGCAGUCUGCUGGACAGCAACUGACGGUGAGGCGCGAAAGCGUGGGGAGCAAACAGGAUUAGAUACCCCUGUAGUC